GGAUUGUGGCUCAGUGGUAGAGUGCUUGCCUCACAUAUGUGAGGUACUGGGUUCAAUCCUCAGCACCA
Molecule: transfer RNA, 68 nt
Filed under: Marmota monax (woodchuck)
Lineage: Eukaryota; Metazoa; Chordata; Mammalia; Rodentia; Sciuridae
Description: tRNA.Val
Source: RNAcentral